AGCAGCCGCCGCGGUAAAACGAGGGGGGCAAGCGUUGUUCGGAAUUAUUGGGCGUAAAGGGUGCGUAGGCGGUUUGACAAGUCUUAUGUGAAAUCUUCGGGCUCAACCCGAAGUCUGCAUGAGAAACUGUUGAGCUUGAGUAUGGGAGAGGUGAGUGGAAUUUCCGGUGUAGCGGUGAAAUGCGUAGAUAUCGGAAGGAACACCUGUGGCGAAAGCGACUCACUGGACCAUAACUGACGCUGAGGCACGAAAGCUAGGGGAGCAAACAGGAUUAGAUACCCCCGUAGUCCCUGUCUCUUAUAA
This 303-nucleotide ribosomal RNA is filed under the name uncultured bacterium. RNAcentral's name for it is "partial 16S ribosomal RNA". It matches the Rfam family "Bacterial small subunit ribosomal RNA", at positions 507 to 809 of the family's 1533-position model. The record is from RNAcentral.